Molecule: ribosomal RNA, 582 nt
Filed under: Triticum aestivum (bread wheat)
Lineage: Eukaryota; Viridiplantae; Streptophyta; Magnoliopsida; Poales; Poaceae
Description: partial small subunit ribosomal RNA
Source: RNAcentral
AUGAAAUGGGUGUCUGAUUUGAUUCUGACUGGUCCAAAAGGAUGGGACGAGAAUUUGGUUAGGCACCUAUUUUACCCACAUGAUGCAGAAGAGACCCUUCGGCUGCGUAUUCCAUCUUCAGGGGAAGGUGAUUUUGUUGCAUGGCGCUUUGAGAAGACGGGGAUGUUUUCAGUUAAAAGCGCGUACAAGCAUGCACUCACGUUAAAGGAACAAAAAGAAGACGAGGGGCAAUACAGAGAUGCAACAUUGGGGGAGAGGAAAAUUUGGGACAUCAUCUGGAAGGCCAAUGUUCCUCAGAAGAUCCAUAUUUUUGCAUGGCGGGUUGCUACCAAUAGUUUGGCUGUCCAAGUAAACAGAAUGGCGCACCACCAAGCGGUUCUCAGUACGUGCUCGAUAUGUGGAGUGGAGGACGAGAAUAUGUUUCAUGCGCUUAUUAUUUGCCCGAAGGCUCAUGCGUUGUGUAUGGCCAUGAGAGAUAUUUGGGAGUUACCUACGGAGGAUGCAUUCAGUUCAGAUGGGUUGGAAACCCCACCUUCUGGUUAUAUCAACAUUAAUGUCGACGAGCUUUUUGAAAAGUAUUAG